GGUCAAGCAAUUAAGCGCACACGGUGGAUGCCUAGGCAGCCAGAGGCGAUGAAAGACGUGGUAGCCUGCGAUAAGGCUCGGCGAGGUGGCAAACAACCUGUGACCCGGGCAUUUCUGAAUGGGGAAACCCACUCAUCAUAAGAUGAGUAUCUUACGCYKAUAUAUWSAGCGUAAGAUACUCAUCWUAWGAUGAGUAUCUUACGCUGAAUAUAUAGGCGUAAGAGGCGAACCAGGGGAACUGAAACAUCUAAGUACCCUGAGGAAAAGAAAUCAACCGAGAUUCCCCUAGUAGC
This 293-nucleotide ribosomal RNA is filed under the name Halomonas sp. GFAJ-1. RNAcentral's name for it is "Bacterial large subunit ribosomal RNA". It matches the Rfam family "Bacterial large subunit ribosomal RNA", at positions 1 to 247 of the family's 2925-position model. Lineage: Bacteria; Pseudomonadati; Pseudomonadota; Gammaproteobacteria; Oceanospirillales; Halomonadaceae. The record is from Rfam by way of RNAcentral.